AGAAUCAACGCUGGCGGCGUGCCUAACACAUGCAAGUCGCACGAGAAAGUGGAGCAAUCCACGAGUACAGUGGCGCACGGGUGAGUAACACGUGAAUGAUCUACCUCCGAGUGGGGGAAUAACUGAGAGAAAUCUUAGCUAAUACCGCAUAAUACCCACGGGUCAAAGCAGCAAUGCGCUUGGAGAGGAGUUCGCGGCCGAUUAGCUAGUUGGCGGGGUAAUGGCCCACCAAGGCGAUGAUCGGUA
RNAcentral lists this ribosomal RNA (246 nucleotides) under uncultured bacterium. RNAcentral's name for it is "partial small subunit ribosomal RNA". It matches the Rfam family "Bacterial small subunit ribosomal RNA", at positions 26 to 285 of the family's 1533-position model. The record is from RNAcentral.